UAUCUAUGGUAGUGGUCUAUUGCUUCUUGUAUCAUUCGUUGCUUUUAAUUUUGUGUGCAAUUUUGAUAAAAAAUCGGAAAAAAGUACUAGGACGUACAAAAUUUUAUCAAAAUAGAUUCUGCAAUUUCUGUUUUAUCGGUUGUAUGUUUUUCUAGAGGCUGUCGGAUUAGUUUUACGUUUCCAAUUAAUAAAAUUAAUAUAUGUUGGAAUACAUUUUUCCCUGCCUCUGCCAAACGACUUUAGCAGUUCAGCCUACAUAUAUAAUGUAUUUCCUUCCGAAGUCUUAAAGGACCCUGUUGUCAUGAGGUUGGCUAACAAAUAGAGAGAUUAGGAAGUUAAUUUCGACCCUAGUGAUGACCACAAGGGAUGUCUGCACUGAUAUUGUUUCCACACAUGUAAACCAUGGAAUGCUACAUUCUGCAGCUACUACAGAUUGAAAAUAAACGAGUGAGGUGAUUGAAGUUCGUUUUGGUGCUACUAGAGAAAACAAAUCGUCUCCUUCCUAGGGCGUUUUAUUUGUUAACUUUUCAUCUUGGGGGCUCUUGUAGUUAAUUAAUUAAGGAACAUUGAAAGAAUUCCAGAUCCCGUUAAAUUAUGGAGCAUUGGUUGUGUCAGUCCUCCAUCGCUUCAGAAAGUAACUGCACCUAUGGCGGUAAAGAAAAUAUGAAAAUGCGAUUUUUCCAUCGAGAAUGGAGGCAGUGUGAGGUUGCUGAAGAAAGGAUUUAUGACAAUGAACUGAGUGCUCAUUAAAUGAGAAGGAAUUGCAGUUAAUUUUGGUGCCACUGAAACAACGGAUGCCUUUGAUGUGUUAGCCUUGCAACAUUAUGCAGUUAACUUUAGCCCUGAGAAUAGGAUGCAAUUGGAAAUUAUUUGGAAGCCACUGAAACGACAAAUUGUCAGCUGUAAUAUCUCUUCUAGAUUUGGUUUCCUCUUCAUACUGGUAGAUUUUAGAACGCUACAUUCUACAGUUAAUUAAGAUUGCCCAUUAAAUGAGAAGGAAUUGCAGUGAAUUUUUGUGCUACUGAAACAACCGAUUCUUUUGAUCUCUUCGCCUUGCAACGUUCUGCAGUUAGUUUUGGCCCUGAGAAUAGGAUGCAAUUGGAAAUUAUUUGGAAGCCACUGAAACGACAAAUUGUC
This is a long non-coding RNA of Agrilus planipennis (emerald ash borer), 1137 nucleotides long. RefSeq lists it as uncharacterized. The transcript has 7 exons. NCBI's taxonomy places the organism in Eukaryota, Metazoa, Arthropoda, Insecta, Coleoptera, Buprestidae. The record is from RefSeq and is a predicted model, not a curated record.